UUUCACCCAAGUGCGAGAACUCAAUAGAUAUUUAGUGAAAUGAUAAAAAGACGAACAUGUAUAGGAUCGAAUGUUAAUUGGAUUUCUAAUCUAACAUGUCCUCUCUUACUUAAUAUGUGUGCCAUGGUCACAAUGUAGUGAGGAGGGCUAGCCUCCUUAUAUAUAAAUAUGUAUGAUUGUGCUAAUUUUAGUAGAAUGGAUAGAAAAGUCUCUCUUCAUGCAUAGCAUUUAUUCUUGCAAUUCAGUCC
Molecule: long non-coding RNA, 248 nt
Filed under: Phoenix dactylifera (date palm)
Lineage: Eukaryota; Viridiplantae; Streptophyta; Magnoliopsida; Arecales; Arecaceae
Description: long non-coding RNA (PDAC_LNC017156)
Source: RNAcentral